Non-coding RNA from Gorilla gorilla gorilla (western lowland gorilla), 115 nucleotides. It matches the Rfam family "Metazoan signal recognition particle RNA". From Rfam's summary of the family: The signal recognition particle (SRP) is a universally conserved ribonucleoprotein. It is involved in the co-translational targeting of proteins to membranes. The record is from Rfam. NCBI's taxonomy places the organism in Eukaryota, Metazoa, Chordata, Mammalia, Primates, Hominidae.
GCUGGGCGUGAUGGCUCACGCCUGUAAUCCCAGCUUUGGGAGGCCAAGGCGGGUGGAUCACCUGAGGUCAGGAGUUCUAAACCAGCCUGACCAACAUGGUGAAACCCUGUCUCUA